AGUGUAGGCGGUAACGUAAGUCGGAUGUGAAAUCCCUGGGCUCAACCUAGGAAUUGCAUUCGAUACUGCGUAACUUGAAUCAGACAGAGGGAUGUGGAAUUCCGGGUGUAGCGGUGAAAUGCGUAGAUAUCCGGAGGAACACCAGUGGCGAAGGCGGCAUCCUGGGUCUAGAUUGACGCUGAGGCUCGAAAGCGUGGGGAGCAAACAGGAUUAGAUACCCUGGUAGUCC
RNAcentral lists this ribosomal RNA (229 nucleotides) under uncultured bacterium. RNAcentral's name for it is "partial 16S ribosomal RNA". It matches the Rfam family "Bacterial small subunit ribosomal RNA", at positions 568 to 796 of the family's 1533-position model. The record is from RNAcentral.